UUGCAGUGAUGAGAUUCCUACUUCAGGUCCGUGUUUCUGACUAAUGAUUGUAUAGGAAGUCCUGAGCCA
Carassius auratus (goldfish) is the source of this 69-nucleotide small nucleolar RNA. Its record names the gene SNORD18. It matches the Rfam family "Small nucleolar RNA SNORD18". Rfam says of the family: U18 is a member of the C/D class of snoRNA which contain the C (UGAUGA) and D (CUGA) box motifs. It is encoded in introns of ribosomal protein L1 in Xenopus and human, and in introns of elongation factor 1 beta in yeast. The record is from Ensembl. Lineage: Eukaryota; Metazoa; Chordata; Actinopteri; Cypriniformes; Cyprinidae.